This 614-nucleotide long non-coding RNA is filed under the name Homo sapiens (human). RNAcentral describes it as "non-protein coding lnc-GABBR1-2:1". Lineage: Eukaryota; Metazoa; Chordata; Mammalia; Primates; Hominidae. The record is from RNAcentral.
GCCGCGCAGUGACACCCCGUUCCUAAGGGCAGAGCUUUUCUUGCCUUUCGCUUCAGACCCACUGCACUUGGUUACGUGCUUUUCCUCCGCUGUCCGCUUCGUUUAUCUGCUUUAACCCAGCCUGGGCUAGGUAGGCCUGAAGCCUAUAAUGUUGCUUGGCUGUUGCUCAGGAGAAGAAAGGCCCAGGUGGCCAGUUUGGCAACUGGCACAGUCCCUGUGAGCACCCACCUGCUGAUGGUCCUUCUGUCACUACGUAGUCGCUCCGACGCCAGGAAAGUGCGGUGGUGGCCAUUUUGGAACUGGGCAACUUUCACUUCGCCAAUCAUCUUGGGGUCUGGCCACCACAGUACUUUUUUUUCAUUAUUAUUCUGGCAGAGAACACGUUAUGGAGGGAUAAUUAUGUAGCCUAGAAUUUCUAGAGUUGUUUCAGGACUCAUAAUAUCCUCAUUCCAGAAUAUGAGAAUAUAGAAGCUUGGAAUACUCAGAUGCAAAUUCCAGCACCACCCUUUCCUAAUUGAUUGAGGAACACAUCUGACUCUAGUCUACGGUCCUGUGGAAAGACCUGUGACCCUAGGCAAAGAGCUUAAAGAAAUCUCUCUUUUUUUUUUUUUUUU